Long non-coding RNA from Neogale vison (American mink), 395 nucleotides. RefSeq lists it as uncharacterized. The record is from RefSeq and is a predicted model, not a curated record. Lineage: Eukaryota; Metazoa; Chordata; Mammalia; Carnivora; Mustelidae. The transcript is spliced from 3 exons.
CGGAGGGGACGGAGCACGACACGGGGACCCCUGGCCCUCGCCUCCAUUCGCAGGUGGCAGACAGAGCACCGACGAAGCGCCCAGCGCUGUCUGAGCUCCUGACGUGUCUUAGGGACCUACUCAAGUCACACGACACUUGGGUGAGAGUUUUACCGACGAAGAACCAGGCACUCGAGCAUUUCUUUCUGGAAUAUUGUUUGGCACCAAAACAACUUAAACCGUAUUCUUUGUAAGUAAUCUAGAGGAGAGGUAAACAGCGACUGGUGAAGGAACAAAGAUCCAUGAUAGCCUAGGUGUUGUAAGUUGAUCAAAAAGAUGCCACGGGGUUCCUGGCUGGCUCAGUCAGUAGAGCAUGCGGCUCUUGAGUUCAGGGUUGUGAAUUUGAGCCCCAUGUU